This 460-nucleotide ribosomal RNA is filed under the name uncultured bacterium. RNAcentral describes it as "partial 16S ribosomal RNA". It matches the Rfam family "Bacterial small subunit ribosomal RNA", at positions 338 to 795 of the family's 1533-position model. The record is from RNAcentral.
CCUACGGGUGGCAGCAGUGAGGAAUAUUGGUCAAUGGACGCAAGUCUGAACCAGCCAUGCCGCGUGCAGGAUGACGGCCCUAUGAGUUGUAAACUGCUUUUGUACGAGGGUAAACGCAGAUACGAGUACCUGUCUGAAAGUACUGUACGAAUAAGGAUCGGCUAACUCCGUGCCAGCAGCCGCGGUAAUACGGAGGAUUCGAGCGUUAUCCGGAUUUAUUGGGUUUAAAGGGUGUGUAGGCGGUUGGUUAAGUUAGUGGUGAAAGCCCGCGGCUCAACUUGGGAAUUGCAUCUGAUACUGUACGGCUAGAGAGUAGUUGCGGUAGGCGGAAUUUAUGGUGUAGCGGUGAAAUGCUUAGAGAUCACACAGAACACCGAUUGCGAAGGCAGCUUACCAAGCUACUACUGACGUUGAUGCACGAAAGCGUGGGGAGCAAACAGGAUUAGAUACCCUAGGAGUC